RNA transcript from Ictalurus furcatus (blue catfish), 6688 nucleotides. It is a transcript of the gene named eph receptor A4a, with no coding region annotated. NCBI's taxonomy places the organism in Eukaryota, Metazoa, Chordata, Actinopteri, Siluriformes, Ictaluridae. The record is from RefSeq and is a predicted model, not a curated record. The transcript has 18 exons.
UAUAAGCAACUAUAUAUUUCAAGCAAAAUGACGUUUACAGUGUUUGCAUUAUAACACAACAUUUUUGCUGGAAUUUCUUCUUUCUUUUCCCCCUCUGGUACACUCUUUAGGUAUUCCUAGGACGCGGUGAGAGUUUUUAACGCAAGGUGAUUGGUUGCCUAAGGGUGACGGACAGUCCCACAGGCCCCGCCUCUUCGUGUUGUCGAGCGCACGCGGCGCUUUUCGCUCUUCACUCGCUGCUUGCGCGACUUCGGCGGCGCUCGCGAAACGGCGCAAAUGGCAACGAUCGCGUUCUCAGCGGCUUGGGCUCUCUUAUUAUGGAUAUCACACACAGCCUCGAGUGCACGGGUUUAUCCACCGAAUGAAGUGACUUUACUGGACUCGAGAACAGUGCAGGGUGAGCUGAAAUGGGUUUCCAGUCCAACAGAAGGAGGGUGGGAAGAAGUAAGCAUCAUGGACGAGAAGAACACCCCCAUCCGGACGUACCAAGUGUGCAACGUGAUGGAACCUAACCAGAACAACUGGCUUCGGACAGACUGGAUCGCACGUGGAGCGGCCCAGCGCAUUUACGUUGAGAUCAAGUUCACGCUGCGUGACUGCAACAGCUUGCCAGGUGUUUUGGGCACAUGCAAGGAGACGUUCAACCUCUACUACUACGAAUCCAACAAUGACAAAGAGCGAUACAUCCGUGAGAACCAGUUCAUCAAGAUUGACACAAUCGCCGCUGACGAGAGCUUUACGCAGGUGGAUAUUGGAGACCGUAUCAUGAAGCUCAACACAGAGGUGCGGGAUGUGGGCGUCUUGACACGCAAAGGCUUCUACUUGGCCUUCCAGGAUGUGGGGGCAUGCAUCGCCUUGGUGUCUGUGCGGAUUUUUUACAAGAAGUGCCCACUUACAGUACGCAACCUUGCUCAGUUUCCUGACACGACCACGGGUGCAGAUACAUCAUCGCUGGUGGAGGUCCGCGGCUCGUGUGUGGACAACUCAGAGGAGCGUGAAGUACCCAAGAUGUAUUGUGGUGCUGAUGGAGAAUGGCUGGUGCCAAUCGGAAGCUGUCUUUGUAACCCAGGAUUCGAGGAGCGAGCAGGAGCAUGCCAAGCCUGUAAGAUUGGCUACUACAGAGCGUUGGCCAGUGACGCCGGUUGCUCCAAAUGUCCUCUCCAUAGCUACUCGGUGCGCGAAGGCUCCACGUCAUGCACGUGCGACAAAGGAUAUUUCCGAUCCGAGACGGACCCCGCUUCCAUGCCCUGUACCCAGCCUCCGUCCUCCCCGCAGCACCUCAUCUCCAACGUCAACGAGACGUCGGUGAACUUGGAGUGGUCGGCGCCGGCGUUUUCAGGCGGAAGACAGGAUCUUACUUACAAUGUGGUGUGUAAACGGUGCGGCCCGGACGGACAGCGGUGCGAGCCGUGUGGUGUCGGCGUCCAUUACACGCCGCAGCAGCUCAGCUUGCGGAGCACACGCGUCUCCAUCAACGAGCUGCAGGCGCACACGAACUACACCUUCCAGGUGUGGGCUGUCAACGGCGUAUCGCCGCAGAGCCCCGGGCCUGACCAGGCAGCCUCAGUCACCGUCACCACCAACCAGGCCGCUCCCUCUCCAGUUUCGUCCAUCCAGGCCAAGGACAUCACCCGGCACGGCGUGUCACUGGCAUGGCAGCAGCCCGAGCGGCCCAACGGCGUCAUCCUGGAGUACGAGGUCAAAUACUACGAGAAGGAUCAGAACGAGCGCAGCUAUCGCAUCAUGAAGACGGCUUCCCGCAGCGCUGACAUUAAAGGCCUGAGUCCGCUCACCUCGUACGUGUUCCACGUACGAGCCCGUACUGCGGCCGGCUACGGAGAAUUCAGCGCUCCUUUCGAAUUCAUGACCAACUCAGUUCCUUCUCCUAUUAUCGGCGACGGAGCGAACUCCACGGUUCUUCUGGUCUCCGUUAUCGGCAGUGUGGUUCUGCUGCUGAUCUUCAUCGCUGUCUUCGUCAUCGGACGCCGGAGGAGUAAAUACAGCAAAGCCAAGCAGGACUCAGAUGAAGAGAAACACCUACACCCAGGGGUGCGGAUCUAUGUGGACCCUUUCACGUACGAGGACCCCAACCAGGCCGUGCGCGAAUUCGCCAAAGAGAUCGACGCCUCCUGCAUUAAGAUCGAAAAGGUCAUCGGCAUCGGUGAGUUCGGCGAAGUGUGUAGUGGGCGCUUGAAGACGCCAGGGAAACGAGAGAUCUGCGUGGCCAUCAAAACCCUGAAAGCUGGAUACACGGAGAAGCAAAGACGGGAUUUCCUGAGCGAGGCCAGCAUCAUGGGCCAGUUCGAUCACCCCAACAUCAUCCGCCUUGAGGGAGUCGUCACUAAAUGCAAACCUGUAAUGAUCAUCACCGAGUACAUGGAAAACGGCUCCCUCGAUGCCUUCCUGAGGAAAAACGACGGCCGCUUCACGGUCAUCCAGCUGGUUGGUAUCCUCCGAGGAAUUGCGUCGGGAAUGAAAUAUCUCUCAGACAUGAGCUAUGUCCACCGCGACCUAGCCGCCAGGAACAUUCUAGUCAACAGCAACCUGGUGUGUAAAGUGUCCGAUUUCGGUAUGUCUCGGGUGCUGGAGGAAGACCCGGAAGCAGCUUAUACAACACGGGAAAUAAUGGGAACCUAUCAAUCGCAGGGUGGAAAAAUCCCCAUUCGCUGGACAGCACCAGAGGCCAUCGCGUACAGGAAGUUCACUUCAGCCAGUGACGUGUGGAGCUACGGGAUCGUCAUGUGGGAGGUGAUGUCGUACGGCGAGCGGCCAUAUUGGGACAUGAGCAACCAGGAUGUCAUAAAAGCCAUUGAAGAGGGAUACAGGCUUCCCCCACCAAUGGAUUGUCCCAUUUCUCUUCACCAGCUCAUGCUGGACUGCUGGCAAAAAGAGCGAGCCGAGAGACCUAAAUUUAGCCAAAUCGUCAACAUGUUGGACAAAUUAAUCCGUAAUCCCAAUACGCUAAAGAGGACUGGAGGAGAAAUAGCAAGACCCAACACCACCCUUCUAGAGCCGAGCAGUCCAGAAUUCUCCUCUCCUCUGGGCACUGUGUCUGACUGGCUAACAGCCAUCAAUAUGGAGCGUUACCGUGACAACUUCACCGCCGCCGGCUACACCACCCCAGAGGCGGUAGUGCACAUGACGCAAGAAGACAUGACAAGGAUAGGCAUCUCGUCAGCCAUGCACCAGGACAAGAUUCUCAGCAGUGCGCAGGGAAUGCUGUCCCAGAUGCAGCAGAUACAGGACAGGAUGGUUCCAGUCUGAUCGGAAACUCUUACACUCUUACAGCUCAUUUAUUUCCCCCUUGUUUUUGUUUUGUUUCGUUUUUUUUUAGACAACUCCAUUUUUACCUCAUCCUCAUUUACGCACUUUAAAAAAAAAUUCGGAAAAAAAUAAAACAAGAACAAGGACGAAUGGCUAACGGCACUUUUUUCCCCCCUGGAUCACCUUUCUAUCGGAGGAUUCGUUUCCUUCCUUCCCUGGUGUUGUGAAACUACUUUCUUCACUAUGUCGUGCAUUUUGCUACACGAUGGAACUUUGACGGGGCAUGCUCUUUUUUUUCACCCUUUUUUUUUGUAUGUAUGUACGUAAAUGUAAAUAAGUAGAACUUUUUGGAUUCGUUCCACUUUGCCAUUUCAUCUUCCAGAUUGAAAAACUGUGGCUUUAAAGUAAAAAAAAAAGACAUUUUGAAGUUUUUUUUAUUAUUAUUCUGGGAUUUCUGGCUCCAUGUGAAGGCUUCUCCGCCCCUUUGAAAUGGAAUAUCUGUCUCCACUUGGCUGGCAAGUCAUGCGCGCCGAUGGAUUUGAGAACACUGCUCUGAGUUGAGAUCUCUCUUGCGUCUUUUUCUCUCCAGCUUGGUCUCUAUGGGUUGUUUUUGUUGUUGGGGUUUUUUUUUUUUCACUCUCACUCUCUCAACCCUGGCAGGCUGUGAAAUUCCCACUCACUGGAAGCUGGAUGGAAGUAAGGGUCACCUCGGCGUUUCUGCAUUGUAGCGACAUCCUUCAUCCCCUUAGCGAAAGCAAAGCAAAAAAAAAAGAGUUUUUUUACAGCUCUCCUCAAGUUUCCUCUCAACGCAGAAAAGCUUCCAGACACAAAUAAUAACAAGCUGAGAAGUGGCUAUGGAUAAUUUGCACAUCCCCCAAGAGCUUUGUUUUGUCUGCAACUAGUGACUAAAGGGAUGCUAGCAACAGAACACAUGCUAGCUGCUUAGCCUUAGCUGGAUGAACUCUACAGCUUCAUGUGCGUGUUUGUUGUUGUUGUUGUUAUUUUUCUGUGAAGGAUGACGCUUGCUCUGAGGAACACACAAAAACACACACUCAAAGAAGACAUAGAGAGUACACUAAGACAGAAGAGUUGCUGGAAAAGAAAACAGAAUCAUUUGCUAGCUUAUUAUUGUUUUUUUUUUUUUUAGCCACAAGGAAGUCACUGGAGUUUUUCGUUUAACGGUUCUGGAGUCAUAAGCCUUCACGAAUUCAGAUCGCUAAGCUAAAUUCAGACUCGGAGGAUUAGCAGCUAGCGCUAACGCUUCAGUUGUGGCUCUGGGAACUGGAAUACGGACACUUGAACCUUAAACUUACCACAGGAAUGUUUUUGGGUUUUGUUUUUUUGUUGAAAAAUAGGGAAAACUUGAUUCACAUUUCAUGAAAGCCAACGGUCUUGUUUGUCUGUUUAACAUGCAUUCCCAUUCAAAAAACAUUUUCUUCAUCACGUUUUGCAGUUGGAGCACCUGAUUGGAAAUAUGCAAGGAAUGUGGAGGAGUUGGAGAGCUAUAGAAUGUAUUGUGCCAAGUUUCUUAAAUGUAGUUUAAUUCUUGGGAAUCAAACUAACAAAUCAUGUUUUUUUGUUGUUGUUGUUGUUUUUGUUUUGUUUUGUUUUGUUUGCUCAGUUAAUCUAGUUGUGUAGAUUAACAAUGUGCUUAAUUUGCAAUUAUCUAUAUAAUGGCAUUGUUUACUUUCUUUAUUUGAAAAAAAAAAUGAAUUUAGGUACAUUUCAUUUAUUUAUGGUCCUUUUUUUAUCUAGUUUGUAAAUUGUAAAAUAGAAAUAUGAGAAAAAAUAAAUGACUGAUUGCCAAGUGUGACUUUUUAUUUUUAUUUUUCGUGGUUGAACUUACGUAUUUGGGCAUGACUUUACGUAUUUGAGUAACUAGCCAAAAAUUUAGCCUAGUUAUAUGUAAUAUUUUCAUAUAAAAAGUAACUUGUACUACUUCUCUGAAAGUGACACAUGCUACGUAGUUUGCUAAUCAAUGAAUCCGAAGUAAAUAUUAGCUAGAAUUUGACCCACUACCUAGCAGUUUACUGUUAGCUACUAGAAAUAAUGCUAGUUGAACCUGCCGUUAGCAAAGAAAACAGGCUAGCUUGGUUAAAUAUAGCUAGUUAAAGUUAGGAAAUAAAAAAAUGAAACUUACCUCAAUACUCUUUUCCAAAUUAGAUUUACAGUUCAUACCUUCCAAGGAGGUAAACGAGACACCAUUUUUAAACAUUUUAACAUUUUACUCCUCCUCAAGUUCAAACCGGCUGAAAAACAAAACAAAACAAUAGAACCCCUCAUAGAAUUUGUAAUGGUUAUAAUGGGAAUUUUAUUGGCUUUAAUGGAAACUGUAAUGGUCCCUGAGGAUCUCAACUGGUAAUUUGUUGCCUUCUGUUGGUGGCAUUUUAUGUCUAGUAGACACCAUUAAGGACCAAUAAUGGUAAUAGUACUGGUGUUAAUGGUUAGCUGAUGGUUUGUAAUGGUAUUUGUGUUUUGGGGGGGUUUUUCCCACUGAGUUAAGACUGCAGUCUGGUUGCUUACCCAUAGUGCUAGCUGCAUUGUGUAGCAUGAAAAGCUCAUGGUAGAUUGGAAUUUUUUUUUUGGAUUCUUGGACUUGAUUAAUUUGAUUGGAUUCUAAACUAAACAUUCUAUAGAUAUAUUGUGCACAGUUAUUAGCUGGAUGGAAGAAGUAGAGACUUUACAAGAACUUGAAAGGUCUCGCACCUAUGGGGCUGGGGGUGUGAGUCCCGCCUUCGCGCUGUGACUUUGCUUCAGGGGUUUUCCUCCGGGUACUCCGGUUUCCUCCCCAAGUCCGAAGACAUGCAUUGUAGGCUGAUUGGCAUUUCCAAAUUGUCUGUAGUGUGUGAAUAUGUGUGCGAUUGUCCUGUGAUGGGUUGGCCCCCCAUCCAAGGUGUCCCCUGCCUCGUGCCCAUAGUUCCCUGGGAUAGGCUCCAGGCUCCCCUGUGACCCUGUAUAGGAUAAGCGGUAUGGAAGAUGGAUGGAUGGAUGGAUGUGUUUAUUAUAUCGGAUUGUACGGUUCUAAUACCCAAUUUUCCAGCACUUUUCAAGACAUCCUAUUAGAUUUCUUCCUCUCCAACCCCAAGCAGUUUGGCAAGGAUAAGUACUACAUUAAAUUUGAAAGAAAAGAAAAGAAAAAAAAAACGAUGAAGAGGGCCGAUUCUCCCCUGAAGAACAAUCGUAACAAUCAAAUGACAUUACUGGUCUGCCUUUCGUCAGCUUUUUUCUUUCAUUCCAGCUCUGUUUCCCACCCCCUCAGCUUUUCCUGUGCUUUCUCCGCGCUGAAUGGGCCGUAAUACAGCCACCCUGGCACGUUUAAUCAGUAAACAUCUGUUUCCCCACAGCCUGCCAUGAUGGCUGAUUGUGUGAGAGGCCUUUGAUAAAUAAACGAAAGAAAAAAACCUCUAGAAAACGCAAUUUUCCG